RNAcentral lists this ribosomal RNA (492 nucleotides) under uncultured bacterium. RNAcentral describes it as "partial 16S ribosomal RNA". It matches the Rfam family "Bacterial small subunit ribosomal RNA", at positions 29 to 507 of the family's 1533-position model. The record is from RNAcentral.
AUUGAACGCUGGCGGCAUGCUUUACACAUGCAAGUCGAACGGUAACAGGCCUUCGGGUGCUGACGAGUGGCGAACGGGUGCGUAAUGCAUCGGAACGUACCCAGAGGUGGGGGAUAACGCAGCGAAAGCUGUGCUAAUACCGCAUGUGAUCUGAGGAUGAAAGCGGGGGACCGAGCAGCAAUGUUUGGCCUCGCGCCUUUGGAGCGGCCGAUGUCGGAUUAGCUAGUUGGUGGGGUAAAGGCCUACCAAGGCGACGAUCCGUAGCUGGUCUGAGAGGACGACCAGCCACACUAGGACUGAGACACGGCCCAGACUCCUACGGGAGGCAGCAGUGGGGAAUUUUGGACAAUGGGCGCAAGCCUGAUCCAGCAAUGCCGCGUGCGGGAAGAAGGCCUUCGGGUUGUAAACCGCUUUUGGCAGGAACGAAACGGUGUCCGCUAAUACCGGGCGCUAAUGACGGUACCUGCAGAAUAAGCACCGGCUAACUACGUG